Molecule: ribosomal RNA, 253 nt
Filed under: uncultured bacterium
Lineage: Bacteria
Description: partial 16S ribosomal RNA
Rfam family: Bacterial small subunit ribosomal RNA
Source: RNAcentral
GACAGAGGUGCCUAGCGUUAGGCGGAAUCACUGGGCUUAAAGCGUGUGUAGGCGGACCGUUAAGUGUCUUAUGAAAUCCCCCGGCUCAACCGGGGAAUUGCUGGGCAUACUGGCGGUCUUGAGCAGUCUAGGGGCAGAUGGAACAAGUGGUGGAGCGGUGAAAUGCGUAGAUAUCACUUGGAACGCCAAAGGUGAAGACAGUCUGCUGGGGACUUACUGACGCUGAGGAGCGAAAGCGUGGGGAGCGAACAGG